RNAcentral lists this unclassified non-coding RNA (2314 nucleotides) under Hevea brasiliensis (rubber tree). Lineage: Eukaryota; Viridiplantae; Streptophyta; Magnoliopsida; Malpighiales; Euphorbiaceae. The record is from RNAcentral.
CCAUGAAAUCGGCCGAGCUGGAGGUAUUUCCUCUCUCUUUUCGCCGGUAAUUAUUUUCAUUUUCUGUCUAAUCGCCGAGAAAAUGCAGGAGAGUAACAUUAUAUUUGAUUUUUUUUCACUUUUUUUGGAGGCCUGUGGGAUAUAGUAAAUGCUACUUUUUAAUUAGACAAUCACAUCAGUUAGUUUAAUCGAUGAUUAAAUUCAGGAUAUUGGAAGGAAUUGAAUCAUUGAAUCCAGAAUUCGAGCAUUGGAACUAUUUGAGCUCAGUGCCACAUAAGUGGAGUUAUUUUUCAAUUGGGUUAUUGGUAAUUUGGUAUUGGGUUCAAUUGUAGUUUAGCAAGUAUGGAUGAUAAAGCCUUACUCUUGAAAAGUGUUAAACUAAAGACAAUGAUUAGCUAUGUUAGUGAGUUAUAUCUGUGCUCUUGUUUUCGACUGCAUUGCUGCCUGCACCAACAUAGGGAUGAUGGGAUCUCUGCCUCCACCAACCAGUUCACAUGCAGCUUCUUCAGCAUUGCUAAGUAUACUCUAUUGCUAUAACAACCAUCAUUGCCUAUGUUUUCAUCUACCUAUGUGUGAGCACCAGUUUGCCUGUUUGGCGACGUCAACCAUGAAAUGCUGUUGCAUCCACCUUCAAUAGCACAAAUCUUUUUGUUUGUUUCUUGCCAAUGACUAAUGCUCAAAUUAACAGUAACUUUAGUGGGCUGAUGAUCUUCCAACUUAACAAAUAUCUUUGUCUCCUUUUUGAUGGUUUAGAGCCAAGGUAGCAUAAUAUUUAGGGUUAGGCUUCUUAUUGUACCUGAUUUAACUACAAUCAAUCAUAUAAGUCUGUGGUCUUAGGGACAUUUCUCCUCAAAGUAAAAGUAGCCUAUGAUUAUUUUGUAAAUUACUAAAAUCUACAAGCUACAUGCUUGAUUAUGAAAUGGUUAUUGAAUGGCAAGGUUUUUCCUCUGUCGCAGAGGUUGCACUUCUGCCCUGGUUCUUCAACACAGUGGCAACUUGGUCACAGGAUAGCUUGAUAGUUUCUUGGUAUGCUUUCAUUGUCUGUACACCAUUGAAGAUUGAUUGAUGGUAUGUAAAUGUCCAUUUAUAUCUUUGUCUAAUGGGUUGCAACCUUAACCCUUCCUCUCAAGGGCAAAGGAACUACUUGAUUGAGGUCAGUGGUGCAGCCUGAUUUGGAAUGGUAGGUUCUUUCCUGGAUUCUGUUGAGAGAGUGUCAUAAGAGUUAAAAUGAUCUCUUGCCAUCAGAUAGACAUGAAUAUCGACACAUAAUUGGUUUCAAAUUGCUGUGACGAAGGGUGGAGUUACAGCACGUGUGUGCAUUAUGGUGUUAAGUUCAAUUUGGAAACUUUUGUUGCAUGGAUACACAUGAUAUGUGGUAUCAAGCUAGACAUAUCAAUGCCUAUAUGUUUUUAAUUAUCUUGUUAGGUUCAUGCUUUAGAGCUUAGAUUGAUGCGCUUCCUGGUAAGGGCCAAUAUCAUGACCAUGUAAAUAUUAGAUAACUUUAGGAUAAGCUUGAUUCUGCAGUAGUUGCUAAGCAGAGGAGGGAACUGAGAUGGAAGUAUCUCCCUUAUAAAUUCAAAUUUUAAUUUAUUUUAGGUGUAAAAUUGGUUUUAUUCCUAGUAAGUGUUCUUUCUCCUAUGCUGCUUUUGAUCUUAGUAGUGGUGAUGAAGCAUAAGAACUAAGAAGUUAACUGUUAUCUUGUUGUAUUCAGAUUUAUUUAUUGUUUGGACAUAUGCAUCCUUUUCUACUCAUUAACAGAAUAACAUGCUUCAUUUAUUCUUUUAUUGCAUGUAAAAAGGGCUUUAGGGAUUUUUUUUGUGGGAAUUAGAUGCCAAAUACCUUCACAAAUUACCCUGUAUUAUCAUACAAUUGAGGUUUGUUGGAGUUGAUGGAAGAUUAGCUCAGUUAAUUUGAAUCACCUGGCCACAAUUUGUUUGUGCACGCACCAUUAUUGUGCUCUUGAGAUGAUGAUAAACAGCUAAAAAGAUAUUAUUCUUGCAGCAACGCCCACAUCAUCCUGUUCGCCCAAUUCCGUCACAGCUUUGGUGCAAGAACUUUGGUACUAAAGACUACAACGAAGUGAAGUGACAGUAGAAGUUGAAUUGAUCUAUCUUGCAUUGUGUCUAAGCAAGACUCUGUAUCUUUUGAUCCCGGAUUUGAGCAACACUUGUUUUAGUUAUAUGCUAGAAUAAGCUUUAAAUCUACAACUUAAUGAGUGGAUUAUCGAUUUUGAUUAUAUUGUUAAUAAAUUGCUGUCUAUUUUGUUUUUCAUAUUGCUGAACUGAUGUUACAAUUUUGAUAUUGAUGCUGUUUU